Molecule: small nuclear RNA, 107 nt
Organism: Gorilla gorilla gorilla (western lowland gorilla)
Lineage: Eukaryota; Metazoa; Chordata; Mammalia; Primates; Hominidae
Source: Ensembl
GUGGUCACUUCGGCAGCACAUAUACUCAAAUUGGAACGAUACAGAGAAGAUUAGUAUGGCCUCUGUGCAAAGAUGACAUGCAAAUUCAUGAAGCGUUCCAUAUUUUA